RNAcentral lists this ribosomal RNA (505 nucleotides) under uncultured bacterium. Its description in RNAcentral is "partial 16S ribosomal RNA". It matches the Rfam family "Bacterial small subunit ribosomal RNA", at positions 28 to 507 of the family's 1533-position model. The record is from RNAcentral.
GACGAACGCUGGCGGCGUGCCUAAUACAUGCAAGUAGAACGCACAGUUUAUACCGUAGCUUGCUACACCAUAGACUGUGAGUUGCGAACGGGUGAGUAACGCGUAGGUAACCUGCCUGGUAGCGGGGGAUAACUAUUGGAAACGAUAGCUAAUACCGCAUAAUAUUGAUUAUUGCAUGAUAAUUGAUUGAAAGAUGCUAUUGCAUCACUACCAGAUGGACCUGCGUUGUAUUAGCUAGUAGGUGAGGUAACGGCUCACCUAGGCGACGAUACAUAGCCGACCUGGAAGGGUGAUCGGCCACACUGGGACUGAGACACGGCCCAGACUCCUACGGGAGGCAGCAGUAGGGAAUCUUCGGCAAUGGACGAAAGUCUGACCGAGCAACGCCGCGUGAGUGAAGAAGGUUUUCGGAUCGUAAAGCUCUGUUGUAAGAGAAGAACGGGUGUGAGAGUGGAAAGUUCACACUGUGACGGUAUCUUACCAGAAAGGGACGGCUAACUACGUG